This 265-nucleotide ribosomal RNA is filed under the name uncultured bacterium. RNAcentral's name for it is "partial 16S ribosomal RNA". It matches the Rfam family "Bacterial small subunit ribosomal RNA", at positions 92 to 354 of the family's 1533-position model. The record is from RNAcentral.
CGACCGGCGCACGGGUGAGUAACACGUAUGAAACCUGCCCGUAGCAGGAGGAUAAGCGGAAGAAAUUCCGUCUAAUACCGCGUAACAACCCAUGGAGGCAUCUCUGUGGGUUUAAAGGAAGCGAUUCCGGCUACGGAUGGUCAUGCGUGCAUUAGCUUGUUGGCGGGGUAACGGCCCACCAAGGCGACGAUGCGUAGGGGUUCUGAGAGGAAGGUCCCCCACACUGGUACUGAGACACGGACCAGACUCCUACGGAAGGCAGCAG